GAUGAACGCUGGCGGCGUGCUUAACACAUGCAAGUCGAACGGAAAGGCCCAAGCUUGCUUGGGUCCUCGAGUGGCGAACGGGUGAGUAACACGUGGGUGAUCUGCCCUGCACUUCGGGAUAAGCCUGGGAAACUGGGUCUAAUACCGGAUAGGACCACAUUCUGGAUGGUGUGGUGGAAAGUUUUUCGGUGUGGGAUGAGCUCGCGGCCUAUCAGCUUGUUGGUGGGGUAAUGGCCUACCAAGGCGUCGACGGGUAGCCGGCCUGAGAGGGUGUACGGCCACAUUGGGACUGAGAUACGGCCCAGACUCCUACGGGAGGCAGCAGUGGGGAAUAUUGCACAAUGGGCGCAAGCCUGAUGCAGCGACGCCGCGUGGGGGAUGACGGCCUUCGGGUUGUAAACUCCUUUCGCUAGGGACGAAGCGCAAGUGACGGUACCUGGAGAAGAAGCACCGGCUAACUACGUG
Molecule: ribosomal RNA, 465 nt
Filed under: uncultured bacterium
Lineage: Bacteria
Description: partial 16S ribosomal RNA
Rfam family: Bacterial small subunit ribosomal RNA
Source: RNAcentral